Molecule: long non-coding RNA, 679 nt
Filed under: Malus domestica (apple)
Lineage: Eukaryota; Viridiplantae; Streptophyta; Magnoliopsida; Rosales; Rosaceae
Description: long non-coding RNA (MDOM_LNC014958)
Source: RNAcentral
CUAAAUGAUUGUGGCUUAUUUUUAGCUACGCUUCUGGAAGUUGAUUUUGAUACCACUUUGUUUCCUGAAACUCAAAAAUCGUGAUUUUGCUCCUUGGAACUCGAUUUCGAUCUCACAAUGCCCUCUAACUCCAAAGUUGUCACUUUACUUCCUAAAAUUCAAUAUUCACUCCACUUUGGCUAGUUUUUAUGUAUAAUUUUGUUAAAUAACCGUUAAGUUUACUUAUGUGGUAUAAUUAGAGCCCACGUAUAGCUAACACAUCACGAGUAUAAAGCUCACAAAUUCAAUCAAAUAGUACCACAUAGAUUGAAACAAAACAAAAACAAAAAACAAAAGAAAAAAUAAUUUUCAAACAUUGUAUAACUAUAAAAAAGGAAAAGUAAGAAAAAUAGCAAAAACAAUUCAUUGGAUUCAUCUCUUUGAUCCCACUCUCUCUAUAAUCGUUGUCAAUACAUUCAUUCCUUCUCCCUCCAUCUCCAGUCACCUUAUAAUUAGUUCCAUUUAUUUUGUUAUUUCUUAUGUUCUUAAAUGAGGUGGCUGAUGGAGAGAGAAUAAUUUUUUUAUUCUUUCUUGCUAUUCAUUUAUUUCAGUAGAAAUUUGGCAUAUUACCAAUUAUAAAUUUUGAAUGGAUGAACUUAUUCUAAAAAAACAAAAACAAGACAAUGCAGAGCGAAUUUUG